CACACACACACACACACUCACACACACACACACUCAUUCACACACACACACACACUCACACGCUCGCACACAUACACACACACACACACACACACACACACACACACACACACACUCAUUCACACACACACACACGCACACACUCACACACUCAUUCACGCACACACACACACACACACACACACACACACACACACACACUCUCUCACACAGCACCUCCCUCAUGUCUUUUGAACUUAAAUAAACUUUCAUGGAAACUGAGAGUGAGACCAGUUCUGCUACCCAGAACAGUCAAUGACCUUUUUCCUAAGAUAGAUGAAUAGAUAGAUUCCCCAUUUUGUUAUUAUGGUGCAUCAUUGUAAAACAUUUGCUUAAAAUUAGAUUAACCAAAACAAAGCGUCCUUUCAGUCUGAACGACAGCAGCUACAAACUGUGAGGAUGCUCAUGUUUCAUCUUUUCUUAGGGAGUCUAACCAUGUCAAAUGUAAUAGGGAUAGGGGAGUUGAUGAAUCAAUUUAAAAACAAUGCAUCAUGUUUUUGUUUUUUUUAAGUGAUUAUUGGUAUUUAUUGAUCUGCGAAGCUUCUCAGGCAGAGUGAGAUUUUCUCUCCUGUCGGGCGAUUUUUCCGCCUGAACCAAAGCUGCUCUGUCCUUGUUGGUGUUUGUUUUUUUAAAACAGUGGCCCGGUUCGAGUUUGCACAUCAUGAAACAACUCAAAUGUGUUACGCAGAUUGUGACUUUACAGUGUUUAACUGAAGGCAUUUUUUGUAACAUUGGUGUCACUGGACGGACUUGAAAAUGAGACGUGCAUGAAAUCAGAGGUUUGGUUUGUGCAAUUAAAGAUUGAACUGUAAUUUCAGGUAGACAAAGAGUUUUGAUUAUCAUUAUUGAUCACGGUGUCUGCAAAAUUAACUCUCGGUAAUAAUCAUUUAAUAAUGAAAAUACUUUCUCUUUUCUUUUUUUUUUAACUGAUUAAUUAACUAUUUAAUUUCCUUUCAGUAUAACUUGAUGCACACUGAGCAUCUCACUGCAGCAAUAUAAAGUUGUAAUGUUCUUUAUUUUGUGAUUUCUCUUCUCAUUUAUUUUGUCGGGACAACGCAAGUUAUUUGAAUUUUUGUAGAAGUGCCAGUUGUAGCCUGUGAGCUUGUUUUUUCAGCUGUAGUCCCUGUAUAUGUUGGUAAGGGGAUAGUGAGGUUAUAUUCUAAUAAUAUGGCUUUUUAAACAUUAUUUUAAAUGUACUCUGUUUUGCCUUCUUUUGACAAAUUUAAAACACUGUUGCAGUAUUUAGUCUGGAGAAAAAGCCCAAGAGAGCCCUGCGGGGGCUGGUGUGUUCUCUCCCACAGACAAACUAGUAUCAAUAAUUGUCUGUCCUUUGGUUUUUGGUUUAUAGAGAAAACUAACUCUUACUGAUGAGAUAAGUCUGUAGUAUGUUGGGAACCCAAAGCUGCUGUUUUUCUCCAGCGGGGAGUGAAAUUACCACCAGUUUGGUCGGUAGCGAAAUCUGAAGUCCUGAGAUAUAUAUAAAGUAAAGCUGUUUUACACGGAUUGACCAGAAAUUCAAAUCAUUACCUUUUUUUAAAUGUCUGCUGCAGUAGUUGUGUGUUGAACGCUUUGGUGCUGUACUUUGUAGAGAUGACGUCAGCAUCAAUUUAAAACUAUACACUUCAUAAAGGUAGUAAUAAUCUACCGGAAUGUUUUCAGUCUGUUUUUAACUAUUAUAAAAUCCUCAAAACUUAAUCACAAACAUUUUUCUCAUUAACGUUGAAUUAAACCACAGUGCAUUGAAAAGUGUUGCUCCUCCAUCUCUGCAGCUCUCUGGAGCCUCUUUUUUGUUUCUUUUGGGAGCUGAUUAUCUGGUUUCGUCCCGUACGGUUCAACGUUCCUGCAGAGUGGAGCACUUAACAGCUAAAGCACCAGAUAUUUAGAAGCAGCUGGUGAAAGUUUAUAAGAAGAGUGGCCAGAAAACUUUUAGAUAUUUAUUAUUUCACUCUAAUCUUACUAGUUUCUACUGCUGUUGUAUGAAGAUGAUGCUGCUUUAUGAGUACCUGUCCAGAUAAGUUACUGAGUACUAAGCAUCGGCAGACGGUCAAAGAGAUGCCCACACAAGACUUCAACUACAGAACGUUUUUCAAGCUGCUUUGUUCUUGCAUUUGUAUCUACAACAGGUAGUUCCUUGAUCACGUAAAAAGCCGAUUGUCACACUGUAGCCUUGUGUAGAUUUUGAAAAUAUCAAAUAGGGAAGUUUAACCCCCUUAUAUCAGCACAAGUGCUUUUAGAAACAGACGAUUUCUAAUCAAAAUUAGCUGAUAAUUGGCAUUUUAAUACAAAUAGCCUUUUUAUGGCUAAAAAUAAAAUCCACACUUUGUCUGCAUAUUUGGUGCAAUACAAUCAGGUGAAAUGUGACAUAUCGUGCACCCCUGGACAUCCACACACAACUUAAAGUAUUCAACAAAGAAAUGACACAAUGUUUUUCUUUUUUUUUAUAUAUAUAUAGUUUAGGAAUUAAAUAUUCACAUGUAACCUGCAUUUCAGAGUUUAUUCAUUUCCUUAAAUAUCUGUGAUUAUCGACAGAACUUUGGACGGUAACAGAAGGUGAAGCUGAUGACUGUAAUCAACACGUGGAUGCAUGUUUUUGCCAGAUUUAAUUGGGAGAAAGGUCACAUUUUAACCUCCUGUGGUUAAUCACACUGUCCACUGCUGCAGCUAAUGUUUUUAAUGUCUUUCCUCAUGUUGCCAAAAGCAGAGUAUAUAACCUUUCUGAUGCACCACAGGAUGGAGGCCUUGUUUGCAGGUCGAUACGAUGUAAAAAAAAAAUUAAAUAAACCAGAAACUACAACAUGUCGGACACGUGUUGUAGUUUCUGAAUUUCCUCAUGAUUUAGUCUUUCAGUGUCCUGCUGGCUGUUUGUUUCUGUACAGUGAGCGAACUGGGACAAACGGUUGGUUUGUUGGUCCUCUCCUCUAAAAGCUUUGAACUGGGAUGUAAAUGUACAUGAAUGGAGGACGGCAGGAGGGAGGGAGGGAGGGAGAGAGAGGUAACUUUGUAAAACUUGUAUAAUUAUUAUUUUUGUGCGUCUUUAAUGGAUCUUGAGACAGAAUUUUUACUUAACCGAUGUUUAUAGAUUUUUAUUUAUGGUGUCAAGGUGCAAAAAUGUUGUACAGAGGUGCAGCUAUGCACAGUCUUGUCUGCUUAUGUUUAGUAAAUGCUAUUUUUAAAUGUUGGGGGGAAAAAUAAAUGCAUUAUGGAAUACUGAACAUAUUGAAUGUCUUAAUUGUAUUCAUGUAAACACCAGGUUAUACUUACAUUAUUAUGUGUAUAGCUUUUUUAAAUAAGCUUUUAAUGCAGAAAACAUGGAUAUUUGUUUUGUUUUUAGUCACUUUUAAGACUUUUACAUUGCACUCACGCCUAUUUUGUGUGUAAUUUAAGGGUUCAACACGGUACUUUUAGUCUUCAGGUUCAUCAAACACUUCAAGAUUUGAAUAUCACUGUAACAAUCAGCCUGGAUGUGUAAGAGGAACAUGUGGAGGCAAAUGUAGAGUAUAACUUUAAUUAAUAAACAGGUUUAUGUACAUAGUCAAAGCUCAAGAGUGAAAGGAGGCAAGAACCACAGCUCUUUCUCCCUGUGAAUAAUGGAUUCAUAUUCAUCAGGUUCUCAGAAACCAGACAACAACUGGAUAAUGAGAUGUUACCUUGUGACUGCUAAAUGUGUAAGAAGUUAAUUAGCAGCUUGUUUUAGAGUUAAUCUGCCCCCUAGUGGCCAAGAAACAUUUAAUGCAGCAUCAGUUUCAGCUGUCCUGAGAUCAGAGUGGACAAAAUGAAUGUGAGCAUUUUUUCUAAAACAGCUGCUAAAGAUUUCACGAGUACUUGAUAUUGAUUGCUUUAAACGUUAACAAGAAAUCCUGAGUAAAUCAUGUAUCACCAUCUCAUUCUAGUCUUUCAUCAACAGAGGUUCCCAGUCAAGUGCAUAUUUUCUUACUUUCCAGAUAUCUGAAAAGCUCUGGGGGUGACAUUUGACCAAGAUAUUGGAAAGAAAGUCCUGCAGAUGGAGUUCGGUCACGAUUAUGCUCAGCACACAGCUUUGUCCCAAUGACUGUAAAUGGCUGUGAGUAACAACAGACGGCUGAUGGACAGCGUUGAAUGUGAACACACGGUGCACUUAAGUCUGCUCCGACUCUCCAGCCAUCACACAUUCAUUACAGCGUGACUUAUGUUUACAGUGACGUGCUGCAGCGAGGGGUCUCUGUCUGCAGCUGACCUUAAAAGACAAAACACAACACCUCUCUGAGAGGUAAACCACCAACCCGCUCGUCUCUGCUGCAGACAAAAGGCAACUCUAAAGACAACAAACCACUUAAGUGAUGCCAAGGCUUGGAAAGUCCAACACUGACUGGAAUGUGCUUCAGUUUACGGUGAAUCAUGGGGAUGUACAAGCCGUCCCCUGUACAGUUUAUAGUUUUCUUUUAAUGUCGUAAAGGAAAUUCAUUUAUUGCAAAUGCUUUUAAAAUGUAUUAUCUCUGUCUGUGGUCUCUGUUGUAGGCUGGAGCUAUAAAAGUGUACGCUGAUUUUAGUGUAUGAGUAAGCUGCCAAACAGUCACAGUAUAACCCUAAAUGGUCAGUAUAAAGGAUUUUCUUUGUGUCUAUGACUCUCAAUGUAUGCAUCAGCACUUAAACUCACAGGCUAAUGUAAAAGAGUAACUCUCAAAACAAUAAAUGUUAAAACACUGAACAAUA
Long non-coding RNA from Dicentrarchus labrax (European seabass), 4728 nucleotides. RefSeq lists it as uncharacterized. The transcript has 2 exons. Lineage: Eukaryota; Metazoa; Chordata; Actinopteri; Moronidae. The record is from RefSeq and is a predicted model, not a curated record.